RNAcentral lists this ribosomal RNA (250 nucleotides) under uncultured archaeon. Its description in RNAcentral is "partial 16S ribosomal RNA". It matches the Rfam family "Archaeal small subunit ribosomal RNA", at positions 616 to 865 of the family's 1478-position model. The record is from RNAcentral.
UAUUCCUGAGGGAGCGGUAAAAUGUGAUAAUCUCAGGAGGACCACCGAUGGCGAAGGCAGUCUACUAAUAUGGAUCCGACGGUGAGGGAUGAAAGCUAGGGGAGCGAUCCGGAUUAGAUACCCGAGUAGUCCUAGCCGUAAACGCUGCAUGCCAGAUGUUACACAAUCUUCGAGAUUGUGUAGUGUCGAAACGAAGGUGUUAAGCAUGCCACCUGGGAAGUACGGUCGCAAGGCUGAAACUUAAAGGAAU